This 597-nucleotide ribosomal RNA is filed under the name Escherichia coli. RNAcentral describes it as "partial 23S ribosomal RNA". It matches the Rfam family "Bacterial large subunit ribosomal RNA", at positions 2044 to 2640 of the family's 2925-position model. Lineage: Bacteria; Pseudomonadati; Pseudomonadota; Gammaproteobacteria; Enterobacterales; Enterobacteriaceae. The record is from RNAcentral.
GAACUCGCUGUGAAGAUGCAGUGUACCCGCGGCAAGACGGAAAGACCCCGUGAACCUUUACUAUAGCUUGACACUGAACAUUGAGCCUUGAUGUGUAGGAUAGGUGGGAGGCUUAGAAGUGUGGACGCCAGUCUGCAUGGAGCCGACCUUGAAAUACCACCCUUUAAUGUUUGAUGUUCUAACGUGGACCCGUGAUCCGGGUUGCGGACAGUGUCUGGUGGGUAGUUUGACUGGGGCGGUCUCCUCCUAAAGAGUAACGGAGGAGCACGAAGGUUGGCUAAUCCUGGUCGGACAUCAGGAGGUUAGUGCAAUGGCAUAAGCCAGCUUGACUGCGAGCGUGACGGCGCGAGCAGGUGCGAAAGCAGGUCAUAGUGAUCCGGUGGUUCUGAAUGGAAGGGCCAUCGCUCAACGGAUAAAAGGUACUCCGGGGAUAACAGGCUGAUACCGCCCAAGAGUUCAUAUCGACGGCGGUGUUUGGCACCUCGAUGUCGGCUCAUCACAUCCUGGGGCUGAAGUAGGUCCCAAGGGUAUGGCUGUUCGCCAUUUAAAGUGGUACGCGAGCUGGGUUUAGAACGUCGUGAGACAGUUCGGUCCCUA